Long non-coding RNA from Silurus meridionalis, 190 nucleotides. RefSeq lists it as uncharacterized. NCBI's taxonomy places the organism in Eukaryota, Metazoa, Chordata, Actinopteri, Siluriformes, Siluridae. The record is from RefSeq and is a predicted model, not a curated record. The transcript is spliced from 3 exons.
CUGUUUAACAAGUGAUGGGUGUACAACGUCAUUUCUCUAUCUCGCAUUGAUUCUGCUUAAUGCUUCAUUGACCUCUUCAGUCCUCUCUCUAGUGUUACUAUGCUUGGCUUGAGUGUUACACAAAUCCUGCAUUUCCCCCAGGCACUCCACUAGAGCUUUCACAAACAUGUCUGAAGAAGUCUCAGGGCUG